CUUCCGGCAAGAAGUCUUGCUUCCGGUUUGUAGUGGGUGGGUUGAUAAAAUGAAAAGUCUUGAUACGAGAAAAAUUAUGCUGCGCUUCAUAAACGUUGAAAGAACACAUUAUACGCGCCUACCAAGGUGAUUAUUUUUAGCCAUUAACACAAAACAUAUGCCUGGCCAAAAAUUGAGCCGGCAUAUACUAGGCACAGGCCUAUCCCAUUACCCAUUUUAUUGCACGUCUACUAUUGAAAUAUUUUGCUGGAAUCUCUGAGAAAGCAUAUUAUAGUGAGCCAUGAUAGCUGAUAGCAUCGUUAUGAUUCAAGCUGCCUAUCAUGCAAAUGCUUGCAGGUGUGCUAAGCAAUAAAGAGAGACAAUAGGUCCUCACUGGCCUUGCAGAUGUGUUAUUGACAGCCAGGCACACAUUCUAAUGUAGGCCUAUAUAAAUCUCAAAAUGGAUAUCACCUGUCAUGACCAACACUUUUCAUGGUUUUCCUGAGUGUCCAUGAUAAUGCUUAAAGUAGAGCACAUCCUUUCCUACACUUUGUUCAUAAUCCUGUAACUUCUCAUCCCAACUAAGAAAUGAAAACUUGAAACAGCAUCUUUAAACAAAUGAACCACUAGUGUCUAUUUAUAACAAUAAUUACACUACCAAGACAGUGACCAUCGUUGAGUGGUUACCACUACCACUUUGUAUUCUGUAAUUCCCAGGUUCAAAUCUCAGCCCAGAAAUUGGCUAUCCUGACAGAUUUUUUCAUUAUAUUCCACAACCCUUCAGGCAAGUGGUGGGAUAGUAUUUGAAAUUAGCCCAUGAAUGUUUCCACGCACACACUUCCAUUCAUUAUUUGACUGUCAUCUUAUGUAAUACUACACAGUCUGAGUUCUUGGCAAUGUAGCUUAACAUAAACUAGAAAAUAUAACCAAGAUAGCCUUGAGUAAGGGAAGAAAUCAUGGAGGAAAGUAAAUUAAAACAUCUGGCUCCAAAUUUGAAGAGUUGUGACGUCUUGAAUCAGAGACGUAACUAACUCACUGAUGAAGUAUAAUGCCAAAAGAAAUACUUCAAUAACCUAUAGGAUGUUCAUGCCAUUUUGUGCACAAAGAAAAUUAUUUCAUAAAUGAGUCCCAUAUGACAUACUGCUCCUCCCCCUUUUUUACUUGUAGCUGUGUUGUAGUCUAACAGCUUGAGGAUGUAUGUAGUCCAUUAAGAUAAAAUCAGUAUUAAAACAAUUGUCACAUAAGCUUUCUUCCCCAGUUACACACUUAUUUUUAGUAAAAAACUGAUCCAAUUCCAAAACAAAUAUAACUGCAGAACAGGAAGAAGUUGUGAUGUUUGACAUUAGAAAUAAAAAUGAAUAUUUUAUAAAAUAUGUUACAAAUUUAUUCAUUACAUUGUUUAAAAACAGCAUUUAAUUUUCUACCUUAUUUUUAUAUAAAAUGUGUUUUUUACAGUCAGUGUAUCACUCAAAUUAACAAAAUAUUUAUAUUAUAAACAAAAAAUAUAUAAGUGUUCAUACUUUAUUCCCAUAUUGAUGAAAAUUAUCUGCAAUAUGCAUUACAUAAUGAUUACCCACAAAUCAAUGGGUUCACUGGACAUCACACAUUGUAAUGCUGUGUAGACUCACAGGCAGGAGCCAACAUUUUGUAGGAACAUACUGUUUCCAUCUGCCCUAAAAAUGGAGGAUAAGCAGCCAAGUCAGCUUGGCUUGGGGGCGAGAAAUCGUCCCCGAAGGCGGAUGGACUACCUAGCUUAGACAACGGCAUAGCAUCAGGGAGGCAAGGGGAAAAUACCUGAUUCUAUUCCCAUGAGAGCGCUUCAUGGAUGGACAAUUCCAACCCAUGAAGCGCCACCACGCCCUGUUAAGGGUCAAGGACAGAGGAGAGGAUGUUCCUCUAAAACACUGGUAUCGACCUACAAGUCUACAUAGUUUUACAACCCAGAAUACCAACCCUGACAAGACAAAUAAUGUUUGUCACAAUACAGAACAGACGUUUUCCUUGCAGCUGUAAGUAACACACUCCAAGUUGACUAAAAUAACUAUUACACUUACAUCAAUUUAAGCAUGACUUUUACAUGCUUUGUAUAAAAUACCGGUAUAGUGCAUUACCACUAUUACUUUUCAUGAAAUAAAACCAUUACAUCUGCUUCC
Zootermopsis nevadensis is the source of this 2132-nucleotide non-coding RNA. NCBI's taxonomy places the organism in Eukaryota, Metazoa, Arthropoda, Insecta, Blattodea, Termopsidae. The record is from RefSeq and is a predicted model, not a curated record.